CCCGCUCAGAAACUCAAGGAAUUGACGGGGCCCGCACAAGCGGAGGAGCAUGUGGUUUAAUUCGAUGAUACGCGAGGAACCUUACCUGGGCUCGAACGUAAGAUGACUGUAGGUGAAAGCUUACAUCUCUUCGGAGCAUUUUACGAGGUGCUGCAUGGUUGUCGUCAGCUCGUGCCGUGAGGUGUCGGGUUAAGUCCCAUAACGAGCGCAACCCCUACCUUUAGUUGCCAUCAGGUAAUGCUGGGGACUCUAAAGGAACUGCCUACGCAAGUAGUGAGGAAGGCGGGGAUGACGUCAAAUCAGCACGGCCCUUACGUCCAGGGCUACACACGUGCUACAAUGGCCGAUACAGAGGGCAGCUACCUGGUGACAGGAUGCAAAUCUCCAAAGUCGGUCUCAGUUCGGAUCGGAGUCUGCAACCCGACUCCGUGAAGUUGGAUUCGCUAGUAAUCGCGCAUCAGCCAUGGCGCGGUGAAUACGUUCCCGGGCCUU
This 492-nucleotide ribosomal RNA is filed under the name uncultured Sphingobacteriales bacterium. Its description in RNAcentral is "bacterial SSU rRNA". It matches the Rfam family "Bacterial small subunit ribosomal RNA", at positions 904 to 1382 of the family's 1533-position model. Lineage: Bacteria; Pseudomonadati; Bacteroidota; Sphingobacteriia; Sphingobacteriales. The record is from RNAcentral.